GAUGAAGAACGUAGCGAAAUGCGAUACGUAAUGUGAAUUGUAGAAUUCAGUGAAUCAUCGAAUCUUUGAACGCAUAUUGCGCUCUCUGGUAUUCCGGAGAGCAUGCUUGUUUGAGUAUCAGUAAACACCUCAACUCCCUUUUCUUUUUUGAAAUUGGAGCUGGACUUGAGUGAUCCCAACGCUUUCUUCCAAGAAAGUGGCGGGUUGCUUGAAAUGCAGGUGCAGCUGAACUUUUCUCUGAGCUAUAAGCAUAUCUAUUUAGUCUGCCUAAAAAACAGAUUAUUACCUUUGCUGCAGCUAACAUAAAGGAGACUAGUUCUUGUGCUGACUGAUGCAGGAUUCACAGAGACAGCUUCGGCUGACUUUGUAAACUCGAUCUCAAAUCAAGUAAGACUACCCGCUGAACUUAAGCAUAUCAAUAAGCGGAGGA
Molecule: unclassified non-coding RNA, 430 nt
Filed under: soil metagenome
Description: partial contains 5.8S ribosomal RNA, internal transcribed spacer 2, and large subunit ribosomal RNA
Rfam family: 5.8S ribosomal RNA (bases 1-120)
Source: RNAcentral